GGAAGUAAAAGUCGUAACAAGGUCUCCGUAGGUGAACCUGCGGAGGGAUCAUUACACAAAUAUGAAGGCGGGCUGGAAUCUCUCGGGGUUACAGCCUUGCUGAAUUAUUCACCCUUGUCUUUUGCGUACUUCUUGUUUCCUUGGUGGGUUCGCCCACCACUAGGACAAACAUAAACCUUUUGUAAUUGCAAUCAGCGUCAGUAACAAAUUAAUAAUUACAACUUUCAACAACGGAUCUCUUGGUUCUGGCAUCGAUGAAGAACGCAGCGAAAUGCGAUAAGUAGUGUGAAUUGCAGAAUUCAGUGAAUCAUCGAAUCUUUGAACGCACAUUGCGCCCUUUGGUAUUCCAAAGGGCAUGCCUGUUCGAGCGUCAUUUGUACCCUCAAGCUUUGCUUGGUGUUGGGCGUCUUGUCUCUAGCUUUGCUGGAGACUCGCCUUAAAGUAAUUGGCAGCCGGCCUACUGGUUUCGGAGCGCAGCACAAGUCGCACUCUCUAUCAGCAAAGGUCUAGCAUCCAUUAAGCCUUUUUUCAACUUUUGACCUCGGAUCAGGUAGGGAUACCCGCUGAACUUAAGCAUAUCAAUAAGCGGAGGAAUCUUG
RNAcentral lists this ribosomal RNA (599 nucleotides) under Alternaria brassicicola. RNAcentral's name for it is "eukaryotic LSU rRNA". The stretch from base 220 to 373 matches the Rfam family "5.8S ribosomal RNA". Lineage: Eukaryota; Fungi; Ascomycota; Dothideomycetes; Pleosporales; Pleosporaceae. The record is from RNAcentral.